RNAcentral lists this ribosomal RNA (609 nucleotides) under Candida tropicalis. RNAcentral's name for it is "eukaryotic LSU rRNA". It matches the Rfam family "Eukaryotic large subunit ribosomal RNA", at positions 37 to 663 of the family's 3401-position model. The record is from RNAcentral. Lineage: Eukaryota; Fungi; Ascomycota; Pichiomycetes; Serinales; Debaryomycetaceae.
UGCAUAUCAAAAGCGGAGGAAAAGAAACCAACAGGGAUUGCCUUAGUAGCGGCGAGUGAAGCGGCAAAAGCUCAAAUUUGAAAUCUGGCUCUUUCAGAGUCCGAGUUGUAAUUUGAAGAAGGUAUCUUUGGGUCUGGCUCUUGUCUAUGUUUCUUGGAACAGAACGUCACAGAGGGUGAGAAUCCCGUGCGAUGAGAUGAUCCAGGCCUAUGUAAAGUUCCUUCGAAGAGUCGAGUUGUUUGGGAAUGCAGCUCUAAGUGGGUGGUAAAUUCCAUCUAAAGCUAAAUAUUGGCGAGAGACCGAUAGCGAACAAGUACAGUGAUGGAAAGAUGAAAAGAACUUUGAAAAGAGAGUGAAAAAGUACGUGAAAUUGUUGAAAGGGAAGGGCUUGAGAUCAGACUUGGUAUUUUGUAUGUUACUUCUUCGGGGGUGGCCUCUACAGUUUAUCGGGCCAGCAUCAGUUUGGGCGGUAGGAGAAUUGCGUUGGAAUGUGGCACGGCUUCGGUUGUGUGUUAUAGCCUUCGUCGAUACUGCCUUUUUAUACUGACCUUUGCUUUUUAUACCUUGGAUGUUGGCAUAUUGAUCUUAAUUCUCCCGCCUUGAAACACG